This 271-nucleotide ribosomal RNA is filed under the name uncultured bacterium. Its description in RNAcentral is "partial 16S ribosomal RNA". It matches the Rfam family "Bacterial small subunit ribosomal RNA", at positions 524 to 790 of the family's 1533-position model. The record is from RNAcentral.
UACGUAGGUGGCAAGCGUUGUCCGGAUUUAUUGGGUUUAAAGGGUGCGUAGGCGGCUUAAUAAGUCAGUGGUGAAAGCCGAUCGCUUAACGAUCGAACUGCCAUUGAUACUGUCAAUCUUGAGUACAUUUGAUGUGGGCGGAAUGUGUCAUGUAGCGGUGAAAUGCUUAGAUAUGUCACAGAACACCGAUUGCGAAAGGCAGCUUACUAUGGUGUCAUUGACGCUGAGGCACGAAAGCGUGGGGAGUCAAACAGGAAUUAGAUUACCCCGG